This 492-nucleotide ribosomal RNA is filed under the name uncultured bacterium. RNAcentral describes it as "partial 16S ribosomal RNA". It matches the Rfam family "Bacterial small subunit ribosomal RNA", at positions 29 to 507 of the family's 1533-position model. The record is from RNAcentral.
AGUGAACGCUGGCGGUAGGCCUAACACAUGCAAGUCGAACGGCAGCACAGUAAGAGCUUGCUCUUACGGGUGGCGAGUGGCGGACGGGUGAGGAAUACAUCGGAAUCUACUUUUUCGUGGGGGAUAACGUAGGGAAACUUACGCUAAUACCGCAUACGACCUACGGGUGAAAGCAGGGGAUCUUCGGACCUUGCGCGAUUGAAUGAGCCGAUGUCGGAUUAGCUAGUUGGCGGGGUAAAGGCCCACCAAGGCGACGAUCCGUAGCUGGUCUGAGAGGAUGAUCAGCCACACUGGAGCUGAGACACGGUCCAGACUCCUACGGGAGGCAGCAGUGGGGAAUAUUGGACAAUGGGCGCAAGCCUGAUCCAGCCAUACCGCGUGGGUGAAGAAGGCCUUCGGGUUGUAAAGCCCUUUUGUCGGGAAAGAAAAGCAGCAGGUUAAUACCCCGCUGUUCUGACGGUACCCAAAGAAUAAGCACCGGCUAACUUCGUG